CGGUGCGAGCGGGGUGAGCGGACGGGCUCCUCCCUUCGGUGAUGCGGGGCGUGGGAGCGCUCGCUGAGUUUGGUGGGGGAGACCGCCGCUGGGGCUUUCCCUGGAAAACGAAUCCCCCGGGGUGGCAGAAACGUCGGAGGUUCCGUUCCUGUAGCGCUGCUCGUGGUGCAAAUGCCAAAUGUACGCGAGAUCGCUGCUCCCGACUGGUUGCGCAGCCCGCGGAGAGGAGCGGAGAUAAUAACUGUUAGGAUACACUCCGACCCGCGGCGGAGCCAUCGCAGCCCCGCAUCACGAAAGGUCGCUGCGACGCCGGGCUGCCUGCGGUGGUGCACGGAGCUCUGCCCGGCUGCGGGAGUCGAGGCAGGUCCGCGGUGCACGUGGCUCGGAUGGAAGAACACAGGAGGCGUGCAGGCGCACACUCGCACGUGUGCCUGCCUGCACGCGUCCUCGGGCUCUGUCAGGCUCUCCCCAAAUCCCUUGCAGCCUCCACGAGCCCUCUGCGGAAGCUCUGAGGCUGCCGCCCGCUGCAGCAGAGCUCUGUCUUUGACCCCGCAGCGGUGGCGAUGAUGUCCUUCACGCAGGAGGGACUCCUGGAACCAAACGGCACCGGCUGCUGCAGUGGGGUGCUGUGCCACCCGUGUCAGACGACGGUGACAACGUGUGCUGCUCUUGGUGGGCCCUGGGUGCGUCCCUGUGCCACUUGGCUGCUCUCUCCCAGCCCGCUCCCACACGCAGGCUGCCUGCUGAGCUGCAGCCCCCCCUCACUUCCAGUUCCCGAGGCAGCGUGUGAGCACGGCUCUGCCAUACAGGAGGCCCAGCGGGGCGGUGGGGUGGACCCAGCCAGCACCUGUGUCUCCUAGCAGAGCACGCCCAGCUCGCAGCAGGACUGGCAUUAUUGGCUGAGCGGAACAGGCGGCUCCACCUGCAGCUCCAGCGUUCACCUCCUGCCCGGAUGCCCGGAGGGCUCGCAACACGCCAGCCCCACGCGUGGCCUGCACAGCUGCCUGCUGCCCUCGUGGAGGAGGAUUGCUGCCACCGGCAGGGCUUCUGCCCUCCAUCACCACGUCGGAGAUACGGGCUGUCACUGCCUGACGGGGGCUUAGCGAGAGAGCUGGAGAGAGCCGCAGUGUGCGGCUGUCUGAUCUCAAUGGCUGGUUUAUUUAUUUCUGUGGUAAACCCAGAGAGCGGGGGACUCGCCGUGCUUUUCUCUGGCACGAAUGGUCUGUGCUGUGUGAGCUAUCGGCUUAUCUAACAAGUCUGUGUGCUGCCGGCGGGAUUUUCCUUUAUCACGAUGCAUGCCUGCUCCUGCCGUCAGCGCGCUGUCAGAUUAGGCCAGCAGAGGCCAUUGUACUUUUCCAUAAUUGCUUGAAAUUUCAUUGUGCCGUGUGGAGCUGAGUUAUCGUGAGCACUGACAUCUCCCUCUCUUAUCAGACACGAAUAUCGUAGGAGACCACAUAAAACGUCUUGCAGAAGCUGAGUUGGACGACCACCAGCUCUUCACUUUUCAGUCCACUGCAGAAGGCCAGUAGUCUGGCAGGUCAGUAAUUGCCAGGACCCUCCCCAGGAGCCUUCUUACAAAUAUCUGUGAUGCUCCCGUUUCUCCAUUCAGUGGAGACUUGACCUGACAGCCGCGAGUUCUCAGAUGCGAUGGAGAGAGGCUGAGCAGCUACGUCAGCCACUUCCCUCAGGACCCUGGGAUGUAUCUCACCCACGGACCCCAUGGAACGCUGAGCUUUGGAUUCCAAUCUUCCCAACUGACUGGAAUACAGUGGAUUAAAAAAAAAAAGUAAGUUAAGGAGAAAUAAAAGCCAACAACCCUCAUCAAGCACCAUCCGCUGCUCCUUGGCACUUCCCCGCACAGACAGAGGUGUUUGCCUGUUUCCCGCAGCAGAGCAGAUACUGACGGGCCGCUCUCAUGUCUCCCAGAGCCUCCUCUUCUCCACGCUGCACAGCCCCAGCUCUCAGCCUGUCCUCCUAACGGAACGGAGCUGUUCCGUCCCUGGGAUCCUUUUUGUGGCCCUCCUCUGGAUGCGCUCCAGCAGCUCCACAUCCCUCCUGUGCUGAGGACCCCCCGUGCGGCUGCAGUACUGCUGGUGGCUUCGCACAUCCUGCUGAACCUCUUCCCUCCCACGUGCGAGCAGUCGGCCAUCCGCGGUGCUGCGUGUCGGUGUGCUCGCCUGGCAGUUCCCAAGUGUGACCACGGCACCCCGCGCUGCUCUGCGGUUCAGCGCCUGCACACCAGGCACGGUGUGCCCACUCGGCAUGCUGCGAGCCCUGUGCCUGCUCUGCCCAUCUUCGGCCUCUCCCUUUUCUUUCUUAUUUCUGCCUGAACGGGUUCGGAUGAGACGAGACCUCCCCGAGUGCACACAGUGCCUCCGCAGAGGCACGGAUCCACCGCAGAACGCUGAGCUCCCGCAGCACCCUUACGAGGUUUGGCCCGGCUGCUCGGUGCAAGAUUAAUUAACACAAUAUUUAAACGCAGCUCCAUCAGGAGUGCAAAACACUUCUAUGGAAAUCUCCGUCAGGAGCCGGCAGAAAUGAGAGUGUGCUUUACCUGGCGGAGCACAAUUAGACAAUUAGACAGUCAAAUAUUGUCCUGGUUAAAGACUAUUAAUUUUCCUUACAUUUGUCAUGAAUUAAUUUUUUUUUUCUUUUUUUUUUCCCCUGGCUGUAUAAACAGUGUUUCAUUUAUAAAUACAACCGCUUCCUUUACACUGAAAAAUUAAAUUUGCUCUGAUAAUGAACCGAGGUGCUAAUAAUCAUUUUGCAAUGCAAAAAAGUGCAAUUACUGCCCGCCGUGCCUCACAUUGGCGCCGACACAAAGCCUGUGGCUGCCAGCCUGGGCUCCGGGCAGCACCCGCUGCAUGGGACCACAGUGCUGUGCCUCUCCUGACCCUCACCAAAGCCGUGGGUCUCACAUCCGAGCUGCAGUGCCCACACGGAGGGGCACGGGCUUUGCACGACGCGUGCAGGCGAAGCUAUGGGACAAAAUGAAGAAGCACAGCGCACAGAAAACCCAGCAAAAUCUACUGCAAAGCUCUGAGCGCACAGUGGGACGAGGAGGAGGGAGAACCGUCUCUGGCCACGGGCCGGCAUGGAGGUAUCUCCUCUACAGUGGGACAUUUAGAGCUAAGCCCUUUGGAACGGGAUAACAGUGAAUUCUUAUGGGACCUCGUGCUUGGGAAGUCGCAGUGCCGGAGGCCAGCUCUCACAAAGAAAGGUGGAGAACAGCUGCAAUGAGAGGAGGAGACCCAUCUGUCCGAGGCAGGGCCAGGAGGGCACAGCAACGCCGCCAGCACAGCCCCGUUCUGACAUCAACUCAGUGGCCUCAGCAGUGAGCUCUCAAAUGCUGGAUGCUGCUCUUGCCUGGUGCUUCCUCUGGAUGCGGUGUGACAUCGGAGCGCGUCCCCUUUGUGCCUGCAGCUCAGGGCUCUGCUUUGGAGCACGCGAGGCAGCUCCGGGCAGGCAUGCAGCACUCUGGCAUUGGCAGCCACACAGGGCAGCUUCCAUCACCUGAAAUGCAUCAGUGCUCCCAUAGCUCCACGCAGCGCUGCUCAGGCAUGCCUGGUCAGAUGAAAUCCCACGUGAUUCUACCACACAUACGUACAAAGGCAUCAGCUAUUGUGUAUGCAUACGUGCCUAGUACAUACGUGAUUAUAAUAGACGUAUCCAUACAUUUUAGGCAGACGUCGGUGAAACGAAGGAUUCAAAGAGGAGCCCACCCAUCUGCUCCUCUCUGUUAAGAAAAAAAAAAGUCAUUAAUUCUUUCCCAAUGCACACAGGUAUCCCGCAGAGAAGCACGCCUCAAAUCGCAGCACUCCUUCCUUCCCCAGCCUUGCUGCAGCAAAUCAUAGACCGAACGCUCCCUUCUCCCCUCUUACUCCAGGGACGGCUGCCCCCAUUACCAAGCAAGACUGCAACCUUUUGAUCCAUCCAUCUUGUCUCUUCCACCCAGCCCAGGCUGAGCUACAGCCACUUAUUUAUUCACGCAAUGUAGGUUUCCUCAUGCUGCUUCACCAGUGCACAUCAGCUGUGACCUCGAGUCUCUGCCCUCUCCAGGGAUAAGCAUGUUUUUUAGUCCCAGGCAUCUCCGGAGCAAAGAGUGACAGUUCUUUAAGGGAGGGAGUAAAUAGCAGGUGGGAGGAAUGACAGGCUGAAGCACAUUUUAGCUUAAUAGGAUAAAAUGGAGCUUGAUGGAAGCAGCCCGGUCUGCAAGUCAUCAGGUGCAGAACGGAACUUCAGCGCCGUGCUUUCCUUUAAAUAGCCGCAAAUGUAGCAAGGUCUUUUGCUGGUAGAAAAUGCAUCAGUCCUUGUUGCUUUCAGCAUCCCACCCUCUCCAUCUAAUGCAAAUUCAACUUUGCUACUGUUGCACUAACCUCUGUACGAUUAAUUAGCUGCUCAACAGAAAGCCAAAUGAUAGUUACAGGAGGCAUGGACAGCAGCCUGCCAGGAUUAAAUGCCACCAGUUUUGGUUCAAAUAGCACAAGGAAGUGACCCAUAAGUGGAGCCCCGCACUGUGGUUAGGGAGAGCCGAGCACCUGGACUGCACACUUGGCAUGGGUUCACCAGCAGGUAAAGCAGAAACAACUCCCUUCCUUGUCCGUGCAGCUUACCGAUAGGCAGGGCACAGAUCUGCUCCUGGCUGGGUGUAUGCAGUGUCCAACACUGUGGGAUUCCAUCUCCUGGGAAAUAUGGUUCCUGCUACAGCCCUGCUGGUUGACAUGAGGAUAUUAGGAAGAUCGGAUGGGUAUUGGGAAGAAUUUCUCCUCCAAAAGAGCGUUCAGGCAGUGGCACAGCUGCCCAGGGAGGUGGUGGAG
Molecule: long non-coding RNA, 4817 nt
Organism: Gallus gallus (chicken)
Lineage: Eukaryota; Metazoa; Chordata; Aves; Galliformes; Phasianidae
Source: Ensembl